This 253-nucleotide ribosomal RNA is filed under the name uncultured bacterium. Its description in RNAcentral is "partial 16S ribosomal RNA". It matches the Rfam family "Bacterial small subunit ribosomal RNA", at positions 524 to 776 of the family's 1533-position model. The record is from RNAcentral.
UACGUAGGGUGCGAGCGUUGUCCGGAAUUACUGGGCGUAAAGAGCUCGUAGGUGGUUUGUCGCGUUGUCCGUGAAAACUCACAGCUUAACUGUGGGCGUGCGGGCGAUACGGGCAGACUGGAGUACUGCCGGGGAGACUGGAAUUCCUGGUGUAGCGGUGGAAUGCGCAGAUAUCAGGAGGAACACCGGUGGCGAAGGCGGUGGUCUGGGCCGGCACUGACGCUGAGGAGCGAAAGCGUGGGGAGCGAACAGG